GCGGGUGUGGCGGAAUGGAAGACGCACUAGACUUAGGAUCUAGCGCUUAGGCGUGCAGGUUCAAAUCCUGUCACCCGUACCA
RNAcentral lists this transfer RNA (82 nucleotides) under Candidatus Phytoplasma mali. Its description in RNAcentral is "tRNA-Leu". It matches the Rfam family "tRNA". Rfam says of the family: Transfer RNA (tRNA) molecules are approximately 80 nucleotides in length. Their secondary structure includes four short double-helical elements and three loops (D, anti-codon, and T loops). Lineage: Bacteria; Bacillati; Mycoplasmatota; Mollicutes; Acholeplasmatales; Acholeplasmataceae. RNAcentral also lists the same sequence under 15 other names. The record is from RNAcentral.